RNAcentral lists this ribosomal RNA (493 nucleotides) under uncultured bacterium. RNAcentral describes it as "partial 16S ribosomal RNA". It matches the Rfam family "Bacterial small subunit ribosomal RNA", at positions 29 to 507 of the family's 1533-position model. The record is from RNAcentral.
ACGAACGCUGGCGGCGCGCUUAACCCAUGCAAGUCGAACGGAAAGGCCUGCUUUCCCUUGUGGAUUGCGGGUACUCGAGUGGCGAACGGGUGAGUAACACGUGAGUGAUCUGCCCCCAACUUGGGUAUAAGCCUGGGAAACUGGGUCUAAUUCCCGAUAGGACUGCAGGGUGGUGCCUGUGGUGGAAAACGAUUUUCUAGUGGUUGGGGAUGAGCUCGCGGCCUAUCAGCUUGUUGGUGGGGUAAUGGCCUACCAAGGCGGCGACGGGUAGCCGGCCUGAGAGGGUGGACGGCCACAUUGGGACUGAGAUACGGCCCAGACUCCUACGGGAGGCAGCAGUGGGGAAUAUUGCACAAUGGGCGGAAGCCUGAUGCAGCGACGCCGCGUGGGGGAUGACGGCCUUCGGGUUGUAAACUCCUUUCGACCGCGAGGAAGCCACCUGGUUGGAAGGGUGGUGACGGUAGUGGUAGAAGAAGCACCGGCUAACUACGUG